CCUACGGGAGGCAGCAGUGGGGAAUAUUGCACAAUGGGGGAAACCCUGAUGCAGCGACGCCGCGUGAGCGAGGAAGGAUUUCGGUAUGGAAAGCUCUAUCAGCAGGGACGAAAAAAGAAGGUACCUGACUAAGAAGCCCCGGCUAAAUACGUGCCAGCAGCCGCGGUAAUACGUAGGGGGCAAGCGUUAGCCGGAGUUACUGGGUGUAAAGGGAGCGUAGAGGGCAAGGGAAGCCAGAAGUGAAAGGGUAGGGCUCAACCCGGUACAUGCUUUUGGAAAUGUGGUGCUAGAGUGCAGGAGAGGUAAGUGGAAUUCCUAGUGUAGCGGUGAAAUGCGUAGAUAUUAGGAGGAACACCAGUGGCGAAGGCGGCUUACUGGACUGUAACUGACGUUGAGGCUCGAAAGCGUGGUGAGCAAACAGGAUUAGAUACCCUUGUAGUC
Molecule: ribosomal RNA, 441 nt
Filed under: uncultured bacterium
Lineage: Bacteria
Description: partial 16S ribosomal RNA
Rfam family: Bacterial small subunit ribosomal RNA
Source: RNAcentral